AGAUCGAAUUGUAAACUUUAGAGUCGUUGUCCAGACCAGCCGAGUAAAUAAGUUCCUUGGAAUAGGACAUCAUGGAGGGUGAGAAUCCCGUCUUUGGCUUGAGCAUUGGUCUUUUGUGAUGCGACUUUCAACGAGUCAGGUUGUUUGGGAAUGCAGCCUUAAUUGGGUGGUAAAUCUCACCUAAAGCUAAAUAUUGGCGAGAGACCGAUAGCGAACAAGUACCGUGAGGGAAAGAUGAAAAGAACUUUGAAAAGAGAGUUAAACAGUAUGUGAAAUUGCUAAAAGGGAACCGUUUGAAGUCAGUCUGGCUGGUCUGCAAUCAGCUUCAACUUUGGUUGGAGUGCACUUGUAGGCCAUUUUGCCUGCCAACAACAGUUUGUUCUGCAGCAAAAAGGUGUUGAGAAUGUAGCUUUCUCUUCGGAGGAAGUGUUAUAGCUCUUCGCGAAAUACUGUGGUUCAGACUGAGGCUUGCAGUGAAUGCUAUUUUGGCUUUGGGGAUGGAUUGCUCAGUGCUUUGCUUGG
This 522-nucleotide ribosomal RNA is filed under the name Apophysomyces variabilis. Its description in RNAcentral is "eukaryotic LSU rRNA". It matches the Rfam family "Eukaryotic large subunit ribosomal RNA", at positions 135 to 623 of the family's 3401-position model. Lineage: Eukaryota; Fungi; Mucoromycota; Mucoromycetes; Mucorales; Mucoraceae. The record is from RNAcentral.